This 88-nucleotide ribosomal RNA is filed under the name Escherichia coli. The record is from RNAcentral. RNAcentral also lists the same sequence under 14 other names. Lineage: Bacteria; Pseudomonadati; Pseudomonadota; Gammaproteobacteria; Enterobacterales; Enterobacteriaceae.
CCUGGCGGCCGUAGCGCGGUGGUCCCACCUGACCCCAUGCCGAACUCAGAAGUGAAACGCCGUAGCGCCGAUGGUAGUGUGGGGUCUC